Molecule: ribosomal RNA, 408 nt
Filed under: uncultured bacterium
Lineage: Bacteria
Description: partial 16S ribosomal RNA
Rfam family: Bacterial small subunit ribosomal RNA
Source: RNAcentral
GACGAACGCUGGCGGCGUGCUUAACACAUGCAAGUCGAACGAAGUGGCGAACGGGUGAGUAACGCGUAAUCAACCUGCCCUUCAGAGGGGGACAACAGUUGGAAACGACUGCUAAUACCGCAUACUGAAGGAGGGGAUUGCGUCUGAUUAGCUAGGUGGAGGGGUAACGGCCCCCCAAGGCGAUGAUCAGUAGCCGGUCUGAGAGGAUGAACGGCCACAUUGGGACUGAGACACGGCCCAGACUACUACGGGAGGCAGCAGUGGGGAAUCUUCCGCAAUGGACGAAAGUCUGACGGAGCAACGCCGCGUGAGUGAUGACGGCCUUCGGGUUGUAAAGCUCUGUUAAUCGGGACGCGGUACCUGUAUAAGAAGCACCGGCUAACUACGUGCCAGCCGCCGCGGUAAUAC